GCUGACCGUUCAGGACCGGAGGCCACCCAGGCUCCCUUAGCCUCUGUGCUCUGUGGGAGGGAACAAAGAAAAUUAUUAACACUAAGGAAUUUUGCUGUCUUUACUGGGGUUGCGAUUGCUCCCUCCCGGCAUGUUUAUUGCAAGGGGCAUUUGGGGAUCUGAGUGGGGACCCCUCAGAGCUUGAAUUCUUGGGCGUGAAAGAACCCCGUGGAAGCUUCCAGAGAGCUUCGCAGGGAGGAAUAAGCAUGAACUUUGCAGGCUGCUGGAGGAACAGGGGGCGGGCACUUGAGGAGCAGUGUUCUUAAGCCUUGGCCUGGUGUGCUGAGGCCCCUCUCCCGGAACCGUAUACAAUGUCUGGAAAUGACACAACAUUCCACAUUUUGGAGAUAAACACCAGCAUUUGAUUUAGGGCUGGACAUGCCUGCGCGCCCCCAGCACAUCCUGCGGUUAAAGAAGCCCAGGGAAGGAGGUGCUGCCCACGUGAGGAGGGAGCCCCAGAAACGCUGACCAGGAGGAGGACGUGAGACUGUCAGCACCGGCAGCCCUGCCAACGUUGAAGAUGUUUCCAGAAUUUUGGUUUGGGAAGAUGAAAGAGUUGUGGGGAUGGAUGGCUGCACUACAGUGUGAAUGUACUUGAUGCCACCGACCUGCAGGAUUGAAAAUGGUGAAAGGGGUAAAUGUGAUGAAACGUCUGUUCGGAACUGCAGAGGAACUCGGAGCCGGGGGCCUUGGCCCCUUCUCCUCCCUCUUCUGUGGAUUAGCAAGUAAGCAACCCCACCCUUCAGCCCAUCCAAAUGAAAACAAGCUGGCGACAGUGUCUCCACUCCGGGAAGGGUGGCUUCUGUAGAACCAGGCACCACACGCGUGUGUGUCCAGCCCGAGAUGAGGGACAGGGUCCGUCCUGACCCCCUGUGGGUCCUCAGGAGCCUACCCAGGCAGGUGGCCCGGAGGCCAUCCAAGCAGACUGCCUGAGACUCCAGAUCAAGUGUCCGUUCCUGCUAUAAACUAUUGAUGCCGGCAAUGUCACCACUGGAAGGCUGGCUGUCUGGGGUGUCAUAUGUUAGCUGUUAUGAAAUGCAAGGGCCGUUCUUCCUUGUGUCCUCGAGUCCUAUCUGCCUGCCUUGGGGGCACGUUCUCUCCAGUGCGCCUGGAUCCUUCCAGAAUUAGCUUUUUACCG
Long non-coding RNA from Myotis myotis, 1177 nucleotides. RefSeq lists it as uncharacterized. Lineage: Eukaryota; Metazoa; Chordata; Mammalia; Chiroptera; Vespertilionidae. The record is from RefSeq and is a predicted model, not a curated record. The transcript has 3 exons.